UUUUAUUAUUAAUUUAGAUUUAUUGGUCUUUAUCUAAUUUAUUAAUAUACUAUAUUAAAUGUAAAUUUAUAGGUAAUUAUGAUUAAAUUAGUAUAAUAUAAUGUUACAUUAAUUGUGUUUUUAAGAUAAAAUUAAGGAAUUCGGCAAAUUUGUUUUCUGCCUGUUUAUUAAAAACAUGUCUUUUUGCAAUUAUUUGAAGUCGGGCCUGCCCUAUGAUUAUUUAAAUGGCCGCGGUAUUUUGACCGUGCAAAGGUAGCAUAAUAAUUAGUUUCUUAAUUAGAAGCUGGUAUGAAUGGUUUGACAAGAAAAUUUCUGUCUCUGUUUUAUUAUUAGAAUUUAACUUUUGAGUCAAAAGGCUUAAAUAUUUUUAAAAGACGAGAAGACCCUAUAGAAUUUUAUAUUUUAAUUUAAAUAAAAUUUUAUGGAUUAUUUAUUUUUAAUUAAGUUUAGUAUUUUGUUGGGGUGACGGAAAAACUAAAAUAACUUUUUCUUAUUUUGUUCAUUAAUUUAUGA
Molecule: ribosomal RNA, 513 nt
Filed under: Platycerus businskyi
Lineage: Eukaryota; Metazoa; Arthropoda; Insecta; Coleoptera; Lucanidae
Description: partial 16S ribosomal RNA
Rfam family: Archaeal large subunit ribosomal RNA (bases 126-327)
Source: RNAcentral